This 532-nucleotide ribosomal RNA is filed under the name Streptococcus sp. W8. RNAcentral describes it as "bacterial SSU rRNA". It matches the Rfam family "Bacterial small subunit ribosomal RNA", at positions 8 to 524 of the family's 1533-position model. Lineage: Bacteria; Bacillati; Bacillota; Bacilli; Lactobacillales; Streptococcaceae. The record is from RNAcentral.
AGAGUUUGAUCCUGGCUCAGGACGAACGCUGGCGGCGUGCCUAAUACAUGCAAGUAGAACGCUGAAGACUUUAGCUUGCUAAAGUUGGAGAGUUGCGAACGGGUGAGUAACGCGUAGGUAACCUGCCUACUAGCGGGGGAUAACUAUUGGAAACGAUAGCUAAUACCGCAUAACAGCAUUUAACACAUGUUAGAUGCUUGAAAGGAGCAAUUGCUUCACUAGUAGAUGGACCUGCGUUGUAUUAGCUAGUUGGUGAGGUAACGGCUCACCAAGGCGACGAUACAUAGCCGACCUGAGAGGGUGAUCGGCCACACUGGGACUGAGACACGGCCCAGACUCUACGGGAGGCAGCAGUAGGGAAUCUUCGGCAAUGGGGGCAACCCUGACCGAGCAACGCCGCGUGAGUGAAGAAGGUUUUCGGAUCGUAAAGCUCUGUUGUAAGAGAAGAACGUGUGUGAGAGUGGAAAGUUCACACAGUGACGGUAACUUACCAGAAAGGGACGGCUAACUACGUGCCAGCAGCCGCGGUAAU